AUGCUGUCCCCUGACGGGCCACUUUUCGAGCUCAGUCCAUCGAGCCACUGCCAAACUGUCCUCCUUGUCCUCGGACAGACUUCAUGCAUCAUGGUGAUAAAUUGGGCAAUGCAUAGGGCCAGUUCCCUCCUACUGAGUUCUAUCAGAAAAGAAGAAGGGGUUAAUACAAAUGCCGUUGUCAUGAUUGUAAAUACAACUUGGAGAAGGAAGCAGAGAAGUCACUAGUUCCUUCUGAAUCCAGUCUGGUGAUGCAGAGAGAAAAGUGUGUGGCCAAGAAGAAAAACACCGUGUAUAUCAAAACAUAAAUGAAAAAAAAUCUCGAGAAUGGGAAAUGCUGAAGAUAAAGAGAAAGAACCCAAGAGAAUAAAAGCAAAGAUAAUAAACAGCCACAGCCAGACUCAGAUGUUCUCUGUCCCAUUAGAGAUGACUUUACCAACAUGUAUUACCUCACUGUAAAGGUAUGUAAAUAGGUGUGAUUCAGGAUGUGUCCAAAUGAAGCCUAUUGUUUUAUCUAUAUUAAAAUAUAGAAGUGAAUAGCUGUAUAGUGGUACCUGAAUUAGUAAUUGCAAGGGACUAAUUCCAACAUAUCUUAGGGGUUUAGCCAUGUAAAUCACACUGACCUUCAGUAGUGCCUAUGCACCUACAUCAGGAGCUCUAGAAAAUCUGUGUGCAUGUACUGGCUCCAGGGAAAAGUCCAGUGCUAUUAUUAUAAUGUGACUAUGACUUUGAGAACCUGUAAUGUACUCAGUUUUAUACAAAUUUACACAGUAGUAUUUGUCAGGGUUGUUGUCACUGAAGUGGAAAGCUCAAAUUGGUGUGAAUUACUGAGACUUAAUAUUGUACUUUGAAUUAUGACUUUUUAUAUUUACAUGAGAGUGUCCUUUGAGUUGCAUCUGGUUUUUGUGCUGUUUACAAACUGCUCUAAAAAGCUGAGCUGAGAAUAUUCGCAGUUAGUUCAGCAUGUGAAACAGAGAAAUAGAAUUUAGCUCUAUUCUUAAACCAUGAUUAUUUAUGUAGCAGCCGUGUUGGCCAACAAAAAGAGAGAAAGCUGAUGGGCAUGAAAAUAACCAGUCUGCUCAUACAUGAGAUUUGCUUGCAGUGGUCCCAGCAGGAGCUUGAAGAGGACUGUGUAUAUUGUGAAACACAAGGAUGUAUAGUUAAUGCAUGCCAGAAAUGACCAUUUGUGGGGCUACUUAAUGCUAGAAAUCCCACAUGGUGAUGAGAUAAUGUGAUCCUGGAGUGCAUUGUAUAGGAUUCUGUCCGGAUAGUUCUUGAAUAUAUCCAGUGAGGGAGACUCCACAACCCCUCCAGGAAACCUGUUCUAGUGCAUGGUCACUUGGACAACAGAGUUCUUCCUCAUGUUGAGAUGGAACCUCCUGUGCAUCUGUUUCUGCCCAUUGCCUCUUGUCUUAUUGCUCAGCACCACUUAGCAGAGCCUGGCUUCAUCCUUUUGGCAUCCUCCCU
This 1464-nucleotide long non-coding RNA is filed under the name Taeniopygia guttata (zebra finch). Its description in RNAcentral is "lncRNA (ENSTGUG00000027261.1)". Lineage: Eukaryota; Metazoa; Chordata; Aves; Passeriformes; Estrildidae. The record is from RNAcentral.